ACCCUGCUCUGUGUCUAGAAGAGAGCUGAACACGCAGUAGGUAAUGUUUGCAAAAUUUGAUUGAUUGAGGGUUUGGGGGGUUUCAUUUGGGCCAUCUGCAGGUGGGCUGGGUAGCAGAAGAAGGCCUCCCAUGGUUUGCUUCUAUGUAUCUGGGUAGAGGAGUUGGAAAAGACGGUGGGAGAGUGCAGGUCUGGGAGCUCACACAGCUUUGGCACUGCCUGUUUUUUUUUUCGUUUUGUUUUUGUUUAAUGCUACAAUAAUAAAUAUUUCACAAAUUAGGAAUGGUGAAGGGCAUGACAAAAAAAGAAAACGUUUUGAUUUCUUGGUAUGUCAGGGUUCAGGGGUAAAUUUUUCUUUCCAUAAAAUGUCUGGUCAUGUUGCUUGUUAUAAUUUUUUUUUUUUUUUUGGUAACAAAUAAUUUCCUUUUAAGUUGGAGGAAAAAAGAGAAUGUCUUACUUUUGCCUAUGUCUCUAAAUGGUGACCAUAUUUUCAAAGCUCCAAACCAGGACACAGAGCCUGAUACACAGCCUUACAGGACAUUUGAAAUGGGGGGCUGCCAGGACAGAGUAUUUGGAGUGGAGGUAUCUGGCCUCCUAGCUGCUGUGCCCAAUGCCUUAGGAGUAACAUCAUUUCUAAAUUACAGAUGCAGUGAGGCCAAUUUGGAUAUCCAGUGGGGAAACCUGGGGACCAUAUAUGUUCUAAAUUGAUAUCUGCCUAUCUAUCUAACUAUCUAUCUAUCUAUCUAUCUAUCUAUCUACCAUCUAUCUAUAUUUUUCUAUUUAUUGCCAGAAAGUCAAGAGCAGCCUUCCCAGAGGACAAGACAACAACAAAACCUACAGAAAUUCUCUCUAGGGUCUCAGUACAUGCAAGAUCUGGCUCUUUGCUGCCUGUGUGGCUGCCCAAUCCCAGCCUCAGCAAUGUCUGAAUGAAGGGUUUGUGGGCAUCUGCAUGAUGCAAGCCAUGAGCUGGGGAGCCGCACAGUAUGGGUUCUGUCUUCUGGCUGGCUGAAAAGGCUUCUCAGGCUCUGAAAGUACCAAUUCUUCAGGCAUGAGUGCUGGUGGAGGAUUAUCUUUUAAAUCAGCUGGUUCUUAUUUUCUUAAGUGUGAAAGAAGGAGGGUGGUCAGGAGUGUGUUUGCGUAUGUGUGUGUGUGACAGGCCAACAUUAGUAUAGUAUCUGCCAUGUGCUGAGAACUUUAUGCAAAUCUUGUAUAUAAUUGCCAUCUAUCUAUAGAUAUGUAUAGAUAUAUAUAUAGAUGUAUAUAGAUAUUUGUGGAUGUAGGUAUAUCUAGAGAUAGAUAGCA
RNAcentral lists this long non-coding RNA (1301 nucleotides) under Homo sapiens (human). RNAcentral's name for it is "HSALNT0319662". The record is from RNAcentral. Lineage: Eukaryota; Metazoa; Chordata; Mammalia; Primates; Hominidae.